Labrus bergylta (ballan wrasse) is the source of this 347-nucleotide non-coding RNA. Lineage: Eukaryota; Metazoa; Chordata; Actinopteri; Labriformes; Labridae. The record is from RefSeq and is a predicted model, not a curated record.
GAGAUUGAAGAGCAUUGUUGCAAACAAUGGUGUCUACAAACCAAAAAAAGGGAAACAAUACAACCUCAAUGAGAAAUUAGCUUCAAAGCUGAUGGAGAGCAUUGAUGAGGAAUUUAGAAAGACCUUCCCAAAUGAAUCAAAAUGUGAACCAUUCAACGGGGCCAUCAGUUCCUUUUCACUCGUCACAGGGACUCUGGUUGAAAAGUACAGAAAGUACAAAGGUGUGCAGCUGCAACUGGAAUUUCUCAGGACAGAGGAAGAAAAAAUUAAGACAAAAGUCCACAAAACAAUCCGGGAGCAAAAGAAAGAAAUCUACAGCAGCCUGAUGACUUCAAUCGAGGAAAACA